AGUAUCUCAAGGAAGACUACAGCUUCACGGCUUAUGCUACCAUCUCGUAUCUGAAGGUGGGACCCAGAGCUAGUCUUCUUAGCAACGAAGGCCAUGCUGUCACUAUGCAAGUGAAGAGGUCCACACAGAGCAGCGUUAGGGCUGCGUCACCUGAAGCUUGUGAAGUGGAUUCAAAGGGGAAAGAAAAGAGCUCAGAUAGAAACAGUAAGUCGACAGUAAUGAAUGUAUCAGCAAGAAGGCUCUGCACAAUCUGCACUCUGAUCUAAGUAAACCGAGACAGCAAGCCUCCUGAAACCCCAGCCUUACUAUGAUGUUCAGGCAAACAAAGGAUCUGGUGCUUUGUAUGAGUCAAGGUUUAUUGUCAACUGUGUACUAGGAGUGUUCAUCUGCAAAUCAGUCAUUAAAUGGAUCCAUCCUAA
This 419-nucleotide long non-coding RNA is filed under the name Rattus norvegicus (Norway rat). RNAcentral's name for it is "long non-coding RNA NONRATT021950". Lineage: Eukaryota; Metazoa; Chordata; Mammalia; Rodentia; Muridae. The record is from RNAcentral.